RNAcentral lists this ribosomal RNA (497 nucleotides) under uncultured bacterium. Its description in RNAcentral is "partial 16S ribosomal RNA". It matches the Rfam family "Bacterial small subunit ribosomal RNA", at positions 28 to 507 of the family's 1533-position model. The record is from RNAcentral.
GAUGAACGCUGGCGGCGUGCCUAAUACAUGCAAGUCGAGCGAACAGACGAGGAGCUUGCUCCUCUGACGUUAGCGGCGGACGGGUGAGUAACACGUGGAUAACCUACCUAUAAGACUGGGAUAACUUCGGGAAACCGGAGCUAAUACCGGAUAAUAUAUUGAACCGCAUGGUUCAAUAGUGAAAGACGGUUUUGCUGUCACUUAUAGAUGGAUCCGCGCCGCAUUAGCUAGUUGGUAAGGUAACGGCUUACCAAGGCAACGAUGCGUAGCCGACCUGAGAGGGUGAUCGGCCGCACUGGAACUGAGACACGGUCCAGACUCCUACGGGAGGCAGCAGUAGGGAAUCUUCCGCAAUGGGCGAAAGCCUGACGGAGCAACGCCGCGUGAGUGAUGAAGGUCUUCGGAUCGUAAAACUCUGUUAUUAGGGAAGAACAAAUGUGUAAGUAACUAUGCACGUCUUGACGGUACCUAAUCAGAAAGCCACGGCUAACUACGUG